This 302-nucleotide ribosomal RNA is filed under the name uncultured bacterium. RNAcentral's name for it is "partial 16S ribosomal RNA". It matches the Rfam family "Bacterial small subunit ribosomal RNA", at positions 508 to 807 of the family's 1533-position model. The record is from RNAcentral.
GCAGCCGCCGCGGUAAUACGUAGGGUGCAAGCGUUAAUCGGAAUUAUUGGGCGUAAAGCGAGCGCAGACGGUUACUUAAGCCAGAUGUGAAAUCCCCAAGCUUAACUUGGGACGUGCAUUUGAAACUGGGUGGCUAGAGUGUGUCAGAGGGAGGUAGAAUUCCACAUGUAGCGGUGGAAUGCGUAGAGAUGUGGAGGAAUACCGAUGGCGAAGGCAGCCUCCUGGGAUAACACUGACGUUGAGGCUCGAAAGCGUGGGGAGCAAACAGGAUUAGAUACCCCUGUAGUCCCUGUCUCUUAUAC